GCCCCUGUAGUGUAGUCCGGUCUAGCAUAGGCGACUGUCACUCGUCUAACCCGGGUUCAAAUCCCGGCGGGGGCGCCA
Molecule: transfer RNA, 78 nt
Filed under: Candidatus Thorarchaeota archaeon
Lineage: Archaea; Promethearchaeati; Candidatus Thorarchaeota
Description: tRNA-Asp
Rfam family: tRNA
About the family: Transfer RNA (tRNA) molecules are approximately 80 nucleotides in length.
Source: RNAcentral